UAGGGAAUCUUCGGCAAUGGGGGCAACCCUGACCGAGCAACGCCGCGUGAGUGAUGACGGCCUUCGGGUUGUAAAGCUCUGUUAAUCGGGACGAAUGGUUCUUGUGCGAAUAGUGCGAGGAUUUGACGGUACCGGAAUAGAAAGCCACGGCUAACUACGUGCCAGCAGCCGCGGUAAUACGUAGGUGGCAAGCGUUGUCCGGAAUUAUUGGGCGUAAAGCGCGCGCAGGCGGAUUGGUCAGUCUGUCUUAAAAGUUCGGGGCUUAACCCCGUGAUGGGAUGGAAACUGCCAAUCUAGAGUAUCGGAGAGGAAAGUGGAAUUCCUAGUGUAGCGGUGAAAUGCGUAGAUAUUAGGAAGAACACCAGUGGCGAAGGCGACUUUCUGGACGAAAACUGACGCUGAGGCGCGAAAGCCAGGGGAGCGAACGGGAUUAGAUACCCCGGUAGUCCUGGCCGUAAACGAUGGGUACUAGGUGUAGGAGGUAUCGACCCCUUCUGUGCCGGAGUUAACGCAAUAAGUACCCCGCCUGGGGAGUACGACCGCAAGGUUG
RNAcentral lists this ribosomal RNA (550 nucleotides) under uncultured bacterium. RNAcentral's name for it is "bacterial SSU rRNA". It matches the Rfam family "Bacterial small subunit ribosomal RNA", at positions 355 to 896 of the family's 1533-position model. The record is from RNAcentral.